Molecule: long non-coding RNA, 928 nt
Organism: Ictalurus punctatus (channel catfish)
Lineage: Eukaryota; Metazoa; Chordata; Actinopteri; Siluriformes; Ictaluridae
Source: Ensembl
GAAAACAACAACAGUUGAUGACAAACAUUACCAACAACCUCUACAGGGCAGGGUGAAGGUAUCACAACCACCAUGUGAAGAAGACUUUGACAGCAGAAAUAUAGAGUCCAUACCACAAGAUGUAAACCACUCAUCAGCAGCAAGAAUCAGAAAACCAGACUGGAGUCCGCAAAGUAAUACAGAGAUGAUCCACAAAAGUUCUGGAACCAAGAUGAACCUCUACCAAAGUGAUGGAAAGGCCAAAGUGUGGAGAAAGAAAGGAUCUGCUCAUGAUCCAGAACAUACGUGCUCAUCUGUGAAACAUGGUGGAGAGAAAUACAUCCGAAUGAAUCAGGAGGAACUUCAUCAUGCAGCAAGACAAUGAUCCAAAACACACUUCCACCUCAACACAGGACUUCAUCAGGGGGAAAGUGGAAGGUUUUAGACUGGACACGUCAAUCACCAGACCUUCACCCAACUGAUCAUCUCACCUCCUGAAGAGGAGACUGAAGGGAGAAACCCCCCGAAACACACAACUACUGAAAGAAGCUGCAGGAGAAACCUGGAGAAGCUUCACAGCAGAAGAAACCAGCAGUUUGAUGUCAGUGAGUCGCAGGAUUGAUGCAGUUAUUACAAACAACAGAUAUGAACCAAAUAUUAAGUCUUAUUUACUUUCAUUUACACUGUUCCUAUACUUUGCAAAUGGGGUGGUCUGCCAUCAAAGGUGUCAUAUGUAACACAUCUAGAUGUAAAUAUCAGGAAAUGAAAGCUGAAAUUCUGAUUUAUUCAUAUUUUGAAGUCUUCAGUGUAUAGUGAAAACAAUAGAAUUGGACUUGCUGUUCCAGUACUUUUGGAGGGGACUGUAUAACACUGUAUCUGUAACUCUGAUUCAUUUAUCAUUACAGUAUAUUUGAGCUUAUCAGCAAAAUCAUCUUAUUUUUUAUUGACU